AUUGAACGCUGGCGGCAUGCUUUACACAUGCAAGUCGAACGGCAGCACGAAAGAGCUUGCUCUUUUGGUGGCGAGUGGCGAACGGUUGAGUAAUGCAUCGGAACGUACCGAGUAAUGGGGGAUAACUGUCCGAAAGGAUAGCUAAUACCGCAUACGCUUUGAGAAGGAAAGUGGGGGCUCUUCGGACCUCACGUUAUUCGAUCGGCCGAUGUCUGAUUAGCUAGUUGGUGGGGUAAAGGCCUACCAAGGCGACGAUCAGUAGCGGGUCUGAGAGGAUGAUCAGCCACACUGGGACUGAGACACGGCCCAGACUCCUACGGGAGGCAGCAGUGGGGAAUUUUGGACAAUGGGCGCAAGCCUGAUCCAGCCAUGCCGCGUGUCUGAAGAAGGCCUUCGGGUUGUAAAGGACUUUUGUUAGGGAAGAAAAGGAUAGUGUUAAUACCAUUAUCUGCUGACGGUACCUAAAGAAUAAGCACCGGCUAACUACGUG
RNAcentral lists this ribosomal RNA (490 nucleotides) under uncultured bacterium. RNAcentral's name for it is "partial 16S ribosomal RNA". It matches the Rfam family "Bacterial small subunit ribosomal RNA", at positions 30 to 507 of the family's 1533-position model. The record is from RNAcentral.